Molecule: ribosomal RNA, 420 nt
Filed under: uncultured bacterium
Lineage: Bacteria
Description: bacterial SSU rRNA
Rfam family: Bacterial small subunit ribosomal RNA
Source: RNAcentral
GGAAUUUUGGGCAAUGGGCGAAAGCCUGACCCAGCAACGCCGCGUGAAGGAUGAAAUCCCUCGGGAUGUAAACUUCGCAAGACCGGGAAGAAUAAGUAAGGGUUAAUAUCUCUUACGAUGACGGUACUGUUUGUAAGCUCCGGCUAACUCCGUGCCGUCAGCCGCGGUAAUACGGGGGGAGCAAGCGUUGUUCGGAUUUACUGGGCGUAAAGGGCGCGUAGGCGGCCACCGCAAGUCGACUGUGAAAUCUCCGGGCUUAACACGGAAAGGUCAGCCGAUACUGCGGGGCUAGAGUGCAGAAGGGGCAAUCGGAAUUCUUGGUGUAGCGGUGAAAUGCGUAGAUAUCAAGAGGAACACCUGAGGUGAAGACGGGUUGCUGGGCUGACACUGACGCUGAGGCGCGAAAGCCAGGGGAGCAAA